RNAcentral lists this unclassified non-coding RNA (4793 nucleotides) under Hevea brasiliensis (rubber tree). The record is from RNAcentral. Lineage: Eukaryota; Viridiplantae; Streptophyta; Magnoliopsida; Malpighiales; Euphorbiaceae.
AAAAAGGAAAAAGCAACUUUUGUCUAUUAGCUGCUGCUCUUUAGUGAUUUAACAGGAAUUUUCAGCAUAUAACAAAUUUUGAUUACAUGCAUAAGAUGUGUUUGCCUGCCACAUCUAUUGAUUUGACAAAGCUUGUGUCCAUAGCAAAAGUUUAAAUCAUUGUAUGGAUUCGUGUAACAAAGCAAACUUAUACCAAAAGGUAUUAAAUGAUAACGUAUGAGCUUGCUCGGGUCUUCUGGAUUGGAUUCAUCAUCAGUGGAGUAUUCACCCACUUCAGCUAUAAAGAUAUUCUGGAAGCAUGGAAGCUUUAGAUCUUUUCCUAUCGUCAAUAAUCAGAUGCUUCAUAGCGGGGCAAGUGACUCGAAACACUCGUCUGUUAGCAACUUGCCAUUACAUCAGUUUAGCUUCAAGAACAAUCGACGAGAAUGGAGCUACAUUAUAGGAAUUCCCAAUGCCUGGGAGACCUUCAGGAACAAAGUCGUCUGGAGAUGAAAGAUUGGUGUCCACCUACAAUCACAGUGUCUUUUAACCCAUGAUUCAAACUGAAGGUAAUAGUAAUAGAUAACAGAAGAACAUAAAUGGAAAACCCAAAAGUGAUGCUGAUAAGUUGCAUCAUAGUGAAUAAGCACGGAACAAAAUAUAUUAUGAAUACUGUAAUGUGAUACUACAUGGUGUCUAAGCAUGCUACGUGCAUUUCAAGUGAACAGGAGAACAAUGCUGUAGAAAUGAGGAAGAAAAUGACCAGUGAAAGCAAAAUUGUAUUCAACAAAAAUUAUAGGCAGGCAGAAGAGUAAGUUGCAGCAUCAUUGAAAGUGGAGGCAUAAUUGAAAGCUUUAUCUCCACAUUGAUAAUAGCAUCAAAAGAUUUCAAACAUCAACAUGCAGCCUAAACAGUCAGCUGGAUCUAGUGACUAUAAACCAAUAGAAUCAGUUUGAAAGAUGAACAGAUAGCUCCAACAAAUGGAUACCAUGCACUGGUAUGGGUACCAAGCACGAAAUUUACAAAAGGUACAGAGAUGCAGCAGCAUGAAUUUUAGCAUAUAUGCAAGAAAGAAAGAAAAUCUAACCACACGAAACCAAUGCCUCUUUGAUGGUGUAGGGGGUAUCAAAACUUUAACAUAGUAGUCAUGAGCGUUAAACGCCAAAUAGAUAUCUGCUCCAUUGCUGUUAUGAAGCCUGCAUAAUAAAUAUCAAUAUAUCAAUACCAGUGCUCAUACAUUGAAAUCAUUGAUUUAAAUCGUAGUCGCGGGUAAUGGAAAUAGGCCUGUAACAACAGUAACAUAAUGGUAACAAUUAUUGCUACACAAAUAAUUUGAAAAAAAAAUUUGAAAAGUUGAUGAAAUGAAUAGAUAUUUCAAGAUAUAAUUAAAAACUGAGACAUACAACUAAAUAAUAAACAUAAAUAUAUCAGAUAAAGAUAUUAAAUUUAUCAUUCUUAAGACAUCUUUUUAGUAUUAAACAAUCUAGCAUAUACCAUAAUUUUCUUCAACAACUGAGCAAAAACACCAAUAACAAAGACAUAUAACUCACCAUUUACAAAAUAUAGAUGUAGAAGUGUGAUUCAUUGCUUUCUUUCACUCCAAAUAAACCUUUACUAAUCGAUGAUCUUAGCUCAAGAAAUGAAAAUUUGUAAAAGACAGAAUUUAAGAUGGAAAUUUGAGAGAAACAGAAGGGGAAGUAAAAAAAACCAGAGAAAACAAGCUCUCUGCCACUUUGCUUCAAAAUAAAAAGGACUCUAUGCCCACGGACAUAACAGCUGUUACCAAUACCCCUUUUUUCUGGCCGUUACUUAACUUGGGUAUCGGUAAUGCCCCCUCAAUAACCUAUAUUUAACAGCCAUAACGUUACUUAACUUGACAACCGCCUUUAAAAUCAUGAUUGCAAUGGAUUCAAAUCAUCAUUUGGUAACAUUGAGUGCGCUUUUUGAGCUCAGGAAAAUAAAAUCAAUAAGUGAUGUUGUGUUCAAGCUGCCAAGUUGAAUAUACUGAGAACAUAUUCUUGUAGUUAUCACCACUAUGCGCAUCAUGAUACAGCUCUUGACAUACCAAAAGAGUUAACAGGACAAGAAAGCUCGUUCAUUUCAGUUAACUUGGCCAAUAUUCUGUUGUAACUUUGUCAAACUUGCUAGUACACAGUAGUGGCUGUCAACGAAAGUACAGUUCGCAAGAUUGCUGGAACUUGUUGGCAGGAAAUGGAAAAUAGGGGCCACAGAGAGAUUUCAUUCUGUAUAGGAGUAUAAAUGGAACAAAAACAUAUACAUGCAUAGUUAAAACUAAUAAACAGAUCCUAUAAUCCACAUCAUUUUAAAGCAAAAGAAGCUAGCUAUCAGUGUAAAAUUUUCUUGAUUCAAUAACCAAGGACAAAACAACAUGGCAAGGUUCCCAGUAACAAAACUAUGCUGGUGAAUAUGUAUACAUAUUGAACCACCACAACUCAGUGCCAAACAUGCACAAAAUCUUACGUAAAUGCAAGGAAUUUGCUUUCAUAAUUGUCCCAGUUGUCUUCAUGCCAUGUCACAUCAUUUUUGCUGAGAAAAUUUUCAUGACGAAAUACUUGAUGCAUUUUUCGAAACUUUAUCACCUCAGAGAAAAACCUGAACUGACUAUUCCUUUGUUUAUCCAACAAUCCCCACUGGAAAUUGUUAAUAGAAGUGUCAUGCCCAUAACUAUUGUUAUUUCCGUAGCGAGUAUGCCCAUAUUCAUCCCCCAUUAGCAUCAUUGGUGUUCCCUGAGAUAACAUUAAUGCCAAAUGGAAAUUUUUCAUUUGGCGAGAGCGUAAAGCUUUAAUUGAAGGAUCAUCAGUUUCUCCUUCAAAGCCACAAUUCCAACUAAAAUUGUCAUUGCUUCCAUCAUUCCCACCUUCUCCAUUGGCAUCAUUAUGCUUAAAAUUGUAUGAAACAAGAUCAUGCAGUGUGAAUCCAUCGUGUGCUAUUACAAAAUUAAUGCUAUGAAAAGGCUUGCGCUUAUUCACUCUGUACAGGUCAGCAGAUCCAGCAACAUGAGUUGCAAAACUCCCUUUCAUACCAGAAUCACCCUUAAUAAAUCUUCUCAAGUCAUCACGGUACUUCCCAUUCCACUCAGCCCACCUGUCCCAGUUAGGAAAUUUUCCAACCAGAUAAAGGCCUCCACAAUCCCAAGGUUCUGCAAUAAUUUUACACCUUGAUAGGAUAGGGUCUUUGGCAAUUGCCCUAAUAACUGGGGGAGCACUAAGUGGAGUGCCAUCAAUUCCACGACAAAGUACGCUGGCCAGGUCAAAUCGAAAUCCAUCCACAUGGUAUUCAGUGACCCAGUGUCUUAGGCUCUCUAGGAUGAGCUCCAUGACCACAGGAUGAUUACAGUUUAAAGUGUUCCCACAUCCAGAAAAGUUAAGCAACUGGCCUUUAUUUGGGUCCAACAUGUAAUAAACCUUAUUAUCUAUGCCACGGAAUGAAGUGGUAUAAGGAUUUUGGUCGUCUACCUCAUUUGUGUGAUUAUAGACGACAUCCAAAAUAACCUCAAUGCCAGCACCAUGCAAGGCUUUGACCAUUUCCUUAAAUUCUCGAGAUGCAUUACAAGGUCCUCCACCACCACUAGCAUAUCGACUCAUAGGAGCAAAGAAAUUUAUUGUUGAAUAGCCCCAUGUAUUGAUCAUGUGAUCUCUGGGGUUUGGGCGUCUCUGAAACUCAAAUUCAUCAAAUUCAAACACAGGCAGCAACUCCACUGCAUUGACACCCAGCUCUAGAAGAUGCGGAAUCUUUUCAAUUACACCAAGGUAACUCCCACGUAUUUUUGGAUCUAAGCCACUAGAUUCAUCAGCUGUAAAUGCACGAACAUUCAUUUCAUAUAUCACAAGAUCUUUCUCUGGUAUAUUUGGAAGCUUGUAGUUAUCUCCCCAGUCAAAAGGCAAGCUAUCAAAAUCAUAAGUACCAAGAAAUUUAGACAACUUAAGGCUAGCAUCUCCAAAAUAUCGGCGACCUUCAACUAGCUUAGCAUAAGGAUCUAAAAGUAUGAUGCUCCUGUCAAAUCGAUGCCCCUGGUGCCAAUUUUGAGGACCAUCUAUCCGAUAACCAUAAAGCACAUUGCUACAAGGCAAAUCCUCAAUACAGAUAUGCCAAAUGUCUCCUGUUUUAUUCACAUGAGGAUCCAAUGCCAGCUCAAUCAAGCUACCACCCAGCCUUUCAUGUGCUUCCCUUUGAGGGAGAGAUAGGCAAAGCGUGACAGAAGUGGCAUGCUGUGAAAAAAUAGCAAAAUUGAUCCCGUUAUCAACUUUAGAUACGCCCAAUGGAAAUGCCUGACCUGGGAAAAUUUUAAAAGUCGGGUCGGUUUCCGACAUUUGAGACGCUUCCUUCUCCUCAAGCACCCGUUCUUGGGCACCACGACCAUAAACACUGGGCUUUCUAUCCUUAUCACGAACCUUUGUCUGACUAAAACUUCGACGGCCACUGCUACUGGAGGCUUGUUUACCCAACUUCAAUCUAAAAAGGCACCCAUGUCCAGAACACGAGAAGGUCCAGCAGAAGAAAGGGCAAUGCUGCUGGUGCUGUUAUUAGCGAAAGGUAAAGCAAAGAAAGGCAUUUUAGCAGCGGAAGUGGAAUCACAGGGAAGUGACGGCCAAAGCAUAUUUCCUUGUUCUAUUGGAAAGCGAAAAAUUAGGAAGAGAAAGCAACGAAAAGGUAUUCGAGAUUCGAAAAUAUGGUCCCGUUUCCGAUCAGUAGAAGUGAAAAGGGGAGUUUGCCAAAAGUGAGAUUUGAGAUUGACAGAGGCUAAAGUUUACGUCCUUUUGCUCGUCUCUUGAAGGUGGAGCGCUUUCUAGUUU